GUUUAUCAAGACAUAACUUGAUUAUUGAGGAACAUCUGGGUUCUGUCUCAUGGCUGGAGGUCAGCAUAUCUCAGUGCCAGAGCACAGGGCAGGUGCCAGCUCCAUGGACUCCUGAACUGAGUUUCUUCAGCCUGCACACGCCCCUCCCUACUACAGUGAAGAGAUUCAAGACCAUAAGCUCCACAAGAGCAGGAUCUGAGUCUGCUCUGUUAACUGAUGUAGGCCCAAACACCCAGAAGAGUGCAUGGCACCCAAUAGAUGUUUCUGGAAAGAAUGAAUAGGUGGAACUCGCUGGACAAGUAGAGAAAAUGAACGCCUGGAAGAAGCUGAAGACCACCUGGGGGCCAUCUGGGCAGGCUCCCUGGGAGGUGCCCUGGGACAAGAGAAUGUUAGAACGACUGACCCAGGACUCUGAAAGAGGGGCUGCACAGGGUGGGGAAGGGCACUGUGAUAGUCUUAAGUCAGGCAGGUUCCCAGAGCCCACGGGAAACAAAAGUAGGAGUCUCAUGGAAUCUUCCUGAGCUUCUUAACCAAGAAGAGAAAUGCUUCCUAAAUACCAUCAUUUGGGGUUUUAUAAGACAAACUCCAAGAUGUGACUAUGUGUUACCAAAUCACAAGACAAAAACACGUUUUUCCUUGGUGUAUCCAAAGGAAUUGUUUUCUAAAGUGAAGAGAAUCCAACCUAAAGUGAUUAACUGUUUCAAACCAAGAACUUAAACACUGAAUGAUCUCUUCAAAUAACCUUCAACUCCUGGCUGUAAUCAUUCCUUUUUACAGAUUAGUCUUAUAAACAAACAUAGUGUAAAAAACCCCCAUUGGAAUCUAAUCAACAUUUUUGUAUCUGUGUUCCCAGAAGCAAUUAUUGAAUAGAUCUGGAUGCUAACUCUAUACUAGGUACAGUGGAAGAUCAUACACAAACAAACACACACACACACACACACACACACACACGGUUACUGUUCCUAAAGUUUUUUCAACCUAUUUCUUAGGUCAUACACCUGUAAACUGCAUGCCCCUUUAAAAGUAUUCCAAAAUUCAUUCUUUUCUCUCAAUCUGAAUGAAGAGAUUAUUCUUGCAUCUCUCUAGCGCUCCCCUUCUUCCAAGGUACCGUUCAAAAACUACUGUCCACAAGGUUUGUUUUACAAACCUCAUUUCCUCUAAUCCCCUGAGCAAUCCUGUGAGGACUUUACCAAGUUGUAUGACCUCUCUGAGCCUCAGUUGCCUGCCUGGAAAGGCAGGAAUAACAACAGAGAGGGGUCGUGUGGAUUGAAUGAGAUGGGAUGUGCUGGUGCUUUUAGAAUUCGAAGGGGCUUUACGCAAGUGAUACUCGCAUGAGUCCAUUGUCCAUCAUAAAUGAAUUUUCCCAGGCCCUCUGUGUCCUGCAUUUUGGCUGUACCAUAACCUCUCAUUUAUCAAGAAGCCAAAUGAUCUAAACUGUCAACAACCAGGAUAUUUUAACACUCAGAGCUGACCCUGAGACACUACAGGAUCCAAUGAGAUUUCUGAAUCAUAAAAGAUAGAUUGAACUACAUGUCUGCAUGGCAUGUGUAUUUUAUUGUAUUCUAAACUUAUUUGAAAAAUUUAUGAUGAGUACUUGGCAGUACUUCUCCAUGUGUGUUCCAACAGGUUUUACACAAUAAAAGGGCUCUAUCGUCAGAGCUG
Long non-coding RNA from Gorilla gorilla gorilla (western lowland gorilla), 1662 nucleotides. RefSeq lists it as uncharacterized. Lineage: Eukaryota; Metazoa; Chordata; Mammalia; Primates; Hominidae. The transcript is spliced from 3 exons. The record is from RefSeq and is a predicted model, not a curated record.